AGUGAACGCUGGCGGUAGGCCUAACACAUGCAAGUCGAACGGCAGCACAGUAAGAGCUUGCUCUUACGGGUGGCGAGUGGCGGACGGGUGAGGAAUACAUCGGAAUCUACUUUUUCGUGGGGGAUAACGUAGGGAAACUUACGCUAAUACCGCAUACGACCUACGGGUGAAAGCAGGGGAUCUUCGGACCUUGCGCGAUUGAAUGAGCCGAUGUCGGAUUAGCUAGUUGGCGGGGUAAAGGCCCAGCAAGGCGACGAUCCGUAGCUGGUAUGACAGGAUGAACAGCCACACUGGAAGUGAGACACGGUCCAGACUCCUACGGGAGGCAGCAGUGGGGAAUCUUGGACGAUGGGGGAGAGCCUGAUCCAGCCAUACCGCGUGGGUGAAGAAGGACUUCGGGUGGUAAAGCCCUGUUGUUGGGAAAGAAGAACAGCAGGUUAAUACCCCGCGGUACUGACGGUACCGAAAGAAUAAGCACCGGCUAACUUCGUG
This 492-nucleotide ribosomal RNA is filed under the name uncultured bacterium. RNAcentral's name for it is "partial 16S ribosomal RNA". It matches the Rfam family "Bacterial small subunit ribosomal RNA", at positions 29 to 507 of the family's 1533-position model. The record is from RNAcentral.